This is a long non-coding RNA of Manihot esculenta (cassava), 482 nucleotides long. RefSeq lists it as uncharacterized. The transcript has 2 exons. Lineage: Eukaryota; Viridiplantae; Streptophyta; Magnoliopsida; Malpighiales; Euphorbiaceae. The record is from RefSeq and is a predicted model, not a curated record.
UGCAAAGCCUAUAAAACAACUAGUAGGUAAUUAUCAAAACCAUGAAGAGAGUUGUAUUUGGAGGGCUUUUGUUCAUAAUUAUAUUUUGUACAUCUCUUUCAUGCUAUGCUUUUCAAGGUUCUUCUUCUCCACAACACAACCCAUCAUUGAGGGCAAAACAUUUAAAGGAUCAAACUGAGAAAGUUGAUAUAAAGAGUUUCAUAAGACAUAAAAAGGGAUCGUACGGCGGUGGAGAUCUUCUUCGACCUCGUACUCCCCAUCGAAAUGGGGCUAUAAAAUUCUCUAUACUGAAAUCUUCUUACUUCCUCUCAAUACUACUUAGUUAUGUUCUUGUUUUAGUUAUUGUUAUAUUGGUCUAAAUGAUCAGGAAGGAGCUAGUAAUUAUUCAAUUUUCUAGCUCUUCUUCUUGAUAACCUCAUUAAAGAGUAAUAACUUAAUUCCCAUCUUUUAGUUCCACUAAUAGAAUUGUGUUUGCCAUUCAA